This 500-nucleotide ribosomal RNA is filed under the name uncultured Glomeromycotina. RNAcentral describes it as "partial small subunit ribosomal RNA". It matches the Rfam family "Eukaryotic small subunit ribosomal RNA", at positions 591 to 1092 of the family's 1831-position model. Lineage: Eukaryota; Fungi; Glomeromycota. The record is from RNAcentral.
CCAAUAGCGUAUAUUAAAGUUGUUGCAGUUAAAAAGCUCGUAGUUGAAUUUCGGGGUCAGUAGGUCGGUCGUGCCACUGGUAUGAACUGGUUUUACUGAUUCCUCCCUCUUGAAGAACUGUAAUGCCAUUAAUUUGGUGUUGCAGGGAAUCAGGACUGUUACUUUGAAAACAUUAGAGUGUUUAAAGCAGGCUUUAGCUUGAAUACAUUAGCAUGGAAUAAUGAAAUAGGACGUUUGAUCCUAUUUUGUUGGUUUCUAGGAUUGACGUAAUGAUUAAUAGGGAUAGUUGGGGGCAUUAGUAUUCAAUUGUCAGAGGUGAAAUUCUUGGAUUUAUUGAAGACUAACUACUGCGAAAGCAUUUGCCAAGGAUGUUUUCAUUAAUCAAGAACGAAAGUUGGGGGAUCGAAGACGAUCAGAUACCGUCGUAGUCUUAACCAUAAACUAUGCCGACUAGGGAUCGGAUGAUGUUAAUUUUUUAAUGACUCAUUCGGCGCCUUACG